GACCUUUGUGGCUGGGGGAGGGGCUGAGGAAGGUGGCCCCCACAUAGCCUCACCAAGGCCUGUAUUCUGAGGUCAUAAUUUAGUACUCAGAUCCCAAGGUAGGAGAGUAAAGGCCAAUGGCAGUGUCAGCAGCAGGAUUGUGAUGUUAUUGUGGAGAUGAGGCCACACUACCUUCAGAGCUCCUGGCCCUGGACGUCCUGUGACCAGGCAGGUCCACCACAGCAGAGGCCACCCGGAGGGAGGCCCAUGUCUAAAAAGGACACGGAGAUCCUCUCCUUAGGAUGGAGAGCAAGAAAGAGGCAGCAAGAAAGUGUUGGUCUCCUUGCUCUGGUUGGAGCUGGUUCUUCGUUGUCCCAAGAGAAGUCCAUCCUUCUUUGGAGUGGCUAAUUGACACAGCUCUAACCAAUGAGAUGGAAGUGAAAAUCUGUUGGAGAGUUUUUGAAAAGUUUGCUUUCAUCAUUAAAGAAGACAUACAUCUUUCCUUUUGUGGACACAGGCCUGAUUGUUGGCGCUUCAGCAACUAUCUGGGUCAGAACUAGAGGUGGUGGAGUGAACACCAUACCAGGCAAUGGAAGCAGCACUGGCCUAGACCAAGCUUGAGCAUGCACCACCGUCACCUGGAGGGCUUGUUCCAACGUGGAUGGCUGGACCCACCCCCAGAGUUUCGGAUUUAUUAGGUCUGUGCUGGGCCCUGAGAAUGUUUAUUUAAAACAAAUUUCUGGAUGCUACUGGUUCAGUUGCCACACUCAGACCUGCUGGCCUUGAGCUUGGAAGAUGUGGGUUUUAUUCCUGGAUUCCACAGUUUACUAUCUAUCACUUAGAGAAUGUAAAUUACUUACCUAAGUCUUGGUUUCUUAUUUGCAAACUAGCUGUUCUACCCAUUUUAUAAGACUUUUGUAAAGAUAAAAUAAAAGAAUACA
RNAcentral lists this long non-coding RNA (920 nucleotides) under Rhinopithecus bieti (black snub-nosed monkey). RNAcentral's name for it is "lncRNA (ENSRBIG00000046654.1)". Lineage: Eukaryota; Metazoa; Chordata; Mammalia; Primates; Cercopithecidae. The record is from RNAcentral.